RNAcentral lists this ribosomal RNA (445 nucleotides) under uncultured bacterium. Its description in RNAcentral is "bacterial SSU rRNA". It matches the Rfam family "Bacterial small subunit ribosomal RNA", at positions 331 to 792 of the family's 1533-position model. The record is from RNAcentral.
CCAGACUCCUACGGGAGGCAGCAGUGGGGGAUAUUGCACAAUGGGGGGAACCCUGAUGCAGCGACGCCGCGUGAGUGAAGAAGUAUUUCGGUAUGUAAAGCUCUAUCAGCAGGGAAGAAGAAAGACGGUACCUGAGUAAGAAGCCCCGGCUAACUACGUGCCAGCAGCCGCGGUAAUACGUAGGGGGCAAGCGUUAUCCGGAUUUACUGGGUGUAAAGGGAGCGUAGACGGUAUGGCAAGUCUGAAGUGAAAGCCCCGGGCUCAACCUGGGAAUUGCUUUGGAAACUGUUAAACUAGAGUGCUGGAGAGGCAGGCGGAAUUCCUAGUGUAGCGGUGAAAUGCGUAGAUAUUAGGAGGAACACCAGUGGCGAAGGCGGCCUGCUGGACAGUAACUGACGUUGAGGCUCGAAAGCGUGGGGAGCAAACAGGAUUAGAUACCCCAGUA